This is a long non-coding RNA of Ovis aries (sheep), 857 nucleotides long. Lineage: Eukaryota; Metazoa; Chordata; Mammalia; Artiodactyla; Bovidae. The record is from Ensembl.
UGCAAAGAUGGGCUCAAUAAAGGACAGAAAUGGUAUGGACCUAACAGAAGCAGAAGAUAUUAAGAAGAGAUGGCAAGAAUACACAGAAGAACUGUACAAAAAGGAUCUUCAUGACCCAGAUAAUCACGAUGGUGUGAUCACUCAUCUAGAGCCAGACAUCCUGGAAUGUGAAGUCAAGUGGGCCUCAGAAAGCAUCACUACAAACAAAGCUAGUGGAGGUGAUGGAAUUCCAGUUGAGCUGUUUCAAAUCCUGAAAGAUGAUGCUGUGAAAGUGCUGCACUCAAUAUGCCAGCAAAUUUGGAAAACUCAGCAGUGGCCACAGGACUGGAAAAGACUUCCUGAGGAAUCAUCAUAGAUAUCUACAAGCAGAAACUGCAAGCAGAAACUAAGCAACUCCAGGGUCCCUGCUUCUCCAAGAUGGUGUCUGGUGUACUUCACCUGGAUCAAGGAAAUCCUGAAAAAAUAGAGACAGAUGAGUGAGCUCGUGGUGUCAGUACCACCCUGUUUCAACACAUCUCAUUCCAGCUUCAGCUCAUCAGUGUGUGGAGGAUGGCUCCUGGUUGCAUUGUGGCAGCAGUGUGCCCACCUUCAGGUGGCCCCAGAGUUUAGUAGCAUCUACCACCCUCUGAAAUCACCUCUAACAACUGGGCUGCUGUUUGAAGGACAGCUCAGAAUUCGCUUCCUCAGAAACCAUCUUACACACAAGAGUCAGUAAGACAGAGAUCACUGCAUUUUCAGCACACUUCUGUUCUAUGGGGUAAGCCAACUCUUAUAGACUAACCUGGGAUACCACCAUUUACAGCAUAAUUUCUGGAAAAAAAUGCAUUACAAGAUCUAUGCACCUGCUAUUCCGUACC